AGAGUUUGAUCAUGGCUCAGGAUGAACGCUGGCGGCGUGCUUAACACAUGCAAGUCGAACGGAAACUUAAUGAAACCUAGUGAUUUAAGUUUUAGUGGCGGACGGGUGAGUAACGCGUGGGUAACCUGCCUCGUACUGGGGGACAACAGUUGGAAACGACUGCUAAUACCGCAUAAGACCACAGAGUCGCAUGACUCAGGGGUAAAAACUCCGGUGGUACGAGAUGGACCCGCGUCUGAUUAGCUAGUUGGUGAGGUAACGGCCCACCAAGGCGACGAUCAGUAGCCGGCCUGAGAGGGUGAACGGCCACAUUGGGACUGAGACACGGCCCAAACUCCUACGGGAGGCAGCAGUGGGGAAUAUUGCACAAUGGGCGAAAGCCUGAUGCAGCGACGCCGCGUGAGUGAAGAAGUAUUUCGGUAUGUAAAGCUCUAUCAGCAGGGAAGAAAAUGACGGUACCUGACUAAGAAGCUCCGGCUAAAUACGUGCCAGCAGCCGCGGUAAUAC
Molecule: ribosomal RNA, 507 nt
Filed under: uncultured bacterium
Lineage: Bacteria
Description: bacterial SSU rRNA
Rfam family: Bacterial small subunit ribosomal RNA
Source: RNAcentral